RNAcentral lists this unclassified non-coding RNA (345 nucleotides) under soil metagenome. RNAcentral describes it as "partial contains 5.8S ribosomal RNA, internal transcribed spacer 2, and large subunit ribosomal RNA". The stretch from base 1 to 120 matches the Rfam family "5.8S ribosomal RNA", at positions 35 to 154 of the family's 154-position model. The record is from RNAcentral.
GAUGAAGAACGCAGUGAAAUGCGAUACGUAAUGUGAAUUGCAGAAUUCAGUGAAUCAUCGAGUCUUUGAACGCACAUUGCGCCCCCUGGUAUUCCGGGGGGCAUGCCUGUCCGAGCGUCAUUGCUGUCCUCAAGCACGGCUUGUGUGUUGGGCCUCCGUCCUCCUCCCGGGGGACGGGCCCGAAAGGCAGCGGCGGCACCGCGUCCGGUCCUCGAGCGUAUGGGGCUUCGUCACCCGCUCUUGUAGGCCCGGCCGGCGCUUGCCGACACAUCAAUCUUUUUUCCAGGUUGACCUCGGAUCAGGUAGGGAUACCCGCUGAACUUAAGCAUAUCAAUAAGCGGAGGA